This 431-nucleotide ribosomal RNA is filed under the name uncultured bacterium. Its description in RNAcentral is "partial 16S ribosomal RNA". It matches the Rfam family "Bacterial small subunit ribosomal RNA", at positions 29 to 507 of the family's 1533-position model. The record is from RNAcentral.
AACGAACGCUGGCGGCAGGCCUAACACAUGCAAGUCGGGCGCCCCGCAAGGGGAGCGGCGGACGGGUGAGUAACGCGUGGGAAUAUGCCCUUUGCUACGGAAUAGUCUCGGGAAACUGGGGGUAAUACCGUAUACGCCCUCUGGGGGAAAGAUUUAUCGGCGAAGGAUUAGCCCGCGUUGGAUUAGGUAGUUGGUGGGGUAAUGGCCUACCAAGCCGACGAUCCAUAGCUGGUUUGAGAGGAUGAUCAGCCACACUGGGACUGAGACACGGCCCAGACUCCUACGGGAGGCAGCAGUGGGGAAUCUUAGACAAUGGGGGCAACCCUGAUCGAGCCAUGCCGCGUGAGUGAUGAAGGCCUUAGGGUUGUAAAGCUCUUUCAGCUGGGAAGAUAAUGACGGUACCAGCAGAAGAAGCCCCGGCUAACUCCGUG